This 549-nucleotide long non-coding RNA is filed under the name Pan troglodytes (chimpanzee). RNAcentral describes it as "long non-coding RNA NONPTRT010016". Lineage: Eukaryota; Metazoa; Chordata; Mammalia; Primates; Hominidae. The record is from RNAcentral.
GCUGCAAGAUGACUAACAGGUGAGGGUCACAGGCAGGACAAACUGCCGUGAAUAUACCAGAGCUGUGUGACCCGUGACAGGAGAAGUUGGAGGAUCUCUGACCUAGUCCUACCUCAUGGGGAAAGAUCUUCACAACAACCCUGCAAGGACAGGUUCAGGAAAAGUGUGGUGGUCCUGAGUUUGUACAGUGAUGAAAUCGAGGGCAGAGAGACCAACAAGCUUCCUCAAGGUUGUACAGCUUAUGAACAGCAGAGCUAGAACCAUAAGUCCCUGGAAAGAAGUUCAAAGAUUUAAAGCUGCUCUUGAAUUUGGGAUCUUAAAGACUACUUGGCUUUUGGAAGCAUCCGGGCAGCCACAGCCAGGAUGGUAAACAAGGGAAGCACCGAAAGCAAGACAGAGGGCUGGACGUAGGCAAGUGGGAAUGGCCACCUCCCCAGUCACACCCCAGGGCCAUGAAACAUUAAGGCUGAUGACUAAAAAGAGGGAAGAAUAUAAAACGUCAGAGGAACCCAGGUGAAGGCUGGGCUCUGCCAGAAUUUAAAGAGAUGG